GGUUGUGGCUCAGUUGUAAAGCGCUUGCCUAGCACGUGUGAGGCACUGGGUUCAAUCUCCAGCACCA
Molecule: transfer RNA, 67 nt
Filed under: Marmota monax (woodchuck)
Lineage: Eukaryota; Metazoa; Chordata; Mammalia; Rodentia; Sciuridae
Description: tRNA.Ala
Source: RNAcentral